This 398-nucleotide ribosomal RNA is filed under the name uncultured bacterium. RNAcentral describes it as "partial 16S ribosomal RNA". It matches the Rfam family "Bacterial small subunit ribosomal RNA", at positions 338 to 733 of the family's 1533-position model. The record is from RNAcentral.
CCUACGGGUGGCAGCAGUGAGGAAUAUUGGUCAAUGGACGCAAGUCUGAACCAGCCAUGCCGCGUGCGGGAAGACGGCUCUAUGAAUUGUAAACUGCUUUUGUACGGGAGUAAACGCAGGUACGCGUAUCUGUCUGAAAGUAUCGUACGAAUAAGGAUCGGCUAACUCCGUGCCAGCAGCCGCGGUAAUACGGAGGAUUCGAGCGUUAUCCGGAUUUAUUGGGUUUAAAGGGUGCGUAGGCGGUCGGAUAAGUUAGAGGUGAAAUCCCGGGGCUCAACUUCGGAAUUGCCUCUGAUACUGUUAGUCUAGAGAUUAGUGGAGGUAUGCGGAAUGUAUGGUGUAGCGGUGAAAUGCUUAGAGAUCAUACAGAACACCGAUUGCGAAGGCAGCUUACCAAG